This 264-nucleotide transfer-messenger RNA is filed under the name Veillonella sp. RNAcentral's name for it is "partial transfer-messenger RNA". It matches the Rfam family "transfer-messenger RNA", at positions 80 to 374 of the family's 374-position model. Rfam says of the family: Bacterial tmRNA, also known as 10Sa RNA or SsrA, is named for its dual tRNA and mRNA-like properties. The record is from RNAcentral. Lineage: Bacteria; Bacillati; Bacillota; Negativicutes; Veillonellales; Veillonellaceae.
AAAACAUUUAAACGCAGAAGAAAAUUUUGCAUUAGCUGCAUAAGCUACGUCCCUCAUACUUGUGCCUACCAAGUGUGAAUGGACGUCAAACAGUAGGCUGGUCUAAUUUAGUUGUUCAUAUGAAUUAGGCGAGACAAUAUGAACUGGGGUUGUGUAGCUUGUCUGUGAGCGAUAGCAACCCGAGAUCUCAAUCAUAGACUGUGCUCGGAGAAGUCUAUAUGGCAACACUCUUGGACAGGGGUUCGACUCCCCUCAUCUCCACCA